GUAAAAGAGAAGAGAGGUCCAAACUGAAAUCUGAGGAGCCUCAACAUUCAGAACUCAACUGGGCGCUGUGGCUCAAGCCUGUAAUCCCAGCACUUUGGGAGGACGAGGCAGGCAGAACACCUGAGGUGAGAAGUUUGAGACCAGCCUGGCCAACAUGGCCAAACCUUGUCUCUACUGAAAAUAUAAAAAUUAGCCAGGCAUGGUGGCGAGCGCCUGUAAUCCCACCUACUCUGGAGGCUGAGGCAGAAGAAUCUCUUGAACCUGGAAGGCGGAGGUUGCAGUGAGCCGAGAUCACACCACUGCCCUCCAGCCUGGGCGACAGAACAAGACUCCGUGUCAGAAAAAAAAAAAGAAAAGAAAAGAAAAAGAAAAAGAAAAGAACUCGGUGGAGCACAAGUAGCUGAGUAAUGCCCCAGAAGCCGGCAUCAUUGUUGGACAGCUCAGAUGUUCAGGAUGUUUCAUUUUGAGCCUACCUCAUUGGAAUUUCAAAAUAUUGGCCUCUUUGGAGCAAUACAGAGCAAGUCUGUUCCUUCAAGUAGAUGAAAAGCUCCCUGCAUGUCUUCCAUUGGACUUCUCCCCUUUAGCUUAAAAAUAUCCACAGUCCUGAAACAUGGCUCAGAAGCAGAUAUUACCCAAACCCUACUCUUAAAGCUCGGCCAGCCAGCCACAUGCAGGACCCUGAAGCAAAUAAGAGGCAGUGACCUGAGAAGCUACGUAUUGACACGGCGCUACCACGGGUGGAGGAGCCUGCAUUGCUGAAUCACAGGAUGAAGGCGAAUCCCUGCCAGCCUCCAUCCAUCUCUGGGGUGCUUAGCAGAAUCCUCAGCUCACAAGAUGAAUAAAUGCAGACUAAAUGAUGCACAAAUAAUCUUCACACACAACCAUCAACACAUGGAAAGACUGCAGGACGGCCAGAUCCCAAGCUAACAAACAGGGGAAGAUGAUGUUUCAAAUGAUCAUCUGAAUGCUGGGUUUCCACCUUCCACCAGGAAGUCAUAUGGUAAAAAGAAAAAAAAUGGCAUUAUGAUACAAACAGAAAAUGUAACAGUGGAGUGCAGAAAAUACAAAAAAAAGGAAAAAAUAAAUAGAAAAUCUUCAAAGAGGCAAUCUGUUUAAAUCUUCAAGAACUGGAAACAGUAAAAGUGAACAGGUUUUUAUUGAGCAUGUCAAUAAAAUGUUUGCAUAAGAAAAAAAAAAAAAA
This 1201-nucleotide long non-coding RNA is filed under the name Homo sapiens (human). Its description in RNAcentral is "cancer/testis associated transcript 69 (CT69)". The record is from RNAcentral. Lineage: Eukaryota; Metazoa; Chordata; Mammalia; Primates; Hominidae.